AAUGGGCGCAAGCCUGAUCCAGCCAUGCCGCGUGAAUGAAGAAGGCCUUAGGGUUGUAAAAUUCUUUCGAUGGUGAAGAUAAUGACGGUAACCAUUAAAGAAGCCCCGGCUAAUUUCGUGCCAGCAGCCGCGGUAAUACGAAAGGGGCUAGCGUUGUUCGGAAUUACUGGGCGUAAAGCGCACGUAGGCGGCCUUGUAAGUUGGGGGUGAAAUCCCGGGGCUCAACCCCGGAACUGCCUCCAAAACUACAAAGCUAGAGGAUGUGAGAGGUUGGCGGAAUUCCGAGUGUAGAGGUGAAAUUCGUAGAUAUUCGGAAGAACACCAGUGGCGAAGGCGGCCAACUGGCACAUAACUGACGCUGAGGUGCGAAAGCGUGGGGAGCGAACAGGAUU
This 392-nucleotide ribosomal RNA is filed under the name uncultured Gammaproteobacteria bacterium. RNAcentral describes it as "bacterial SSU rRNA". It matches the Rfam family "Bacterial small subunit ribosomal RNA", at positions 370 to 779 of the family's 1533-position model. Lineage: Bacteria; Pseudomonadati; Pseudomonadota; Gammaproteobacteria. The record is from RNAcentral.